ACGCACGCUGGCGGCGUGCUUAACACAUGCCAGUCGAACGGAAAGGCCCCUUUGGGGGUACUCGAGUGGCGACCGGGUGAGUAACACGUGAGUAACCUGCCCUUGACUUCGGGAUAACUUCAGGAAACUGGGGCUAAUACCGGAUAGGAAUCCUUGCUGCAUGGUGGGGGUUGGAAAGCUUCGGCGGUUUUGGAUGGACUCGCGGCUUAUCAGCUUGUUGGUGGGGUAGUGGCUUACCAAGGCUUUGACGGGUAGCCGGCCUGAGAGGGCGACCGGCCACAUUGGGACUGAGAUACGGCCCAGACUCCUACGGGAGGCAGCAGUGGGGAAUAUUGCACAAUGGGCGGAAGCCUGAUGCAGCAACGCCGCGGGCGGGAUGACGGCCUUCGGGUUGUAAACCGCUUUCAGCAGGGGCGAAGCUUGUGGUGACGGUACCUGCAGAAGAAGCACCGGCUAACUACGUG
RNAcentral lists this ribosomal RNA (464 nucleotides) under uncultured bacterium. RNAcentral's name for it is "partial 16S ribosomal RNA". It matches the Rfam family "Bacterial small subunit ribosomal RNA", at positions 29 to 507 of the family's 1533-position model. The record is from RNAcentral.